CAGAAAUGUACGUUAAUUAAUAUUUUACAUACCGUCGUCGUCAGAUUUCCUAAAAUAGGAAAUCCUAAUAUAUUAAUAUAAAAAGACAGAUCAAGGUGUAGACAAUAUUAAUGUCUAAGCGAGUUACUAUAAAAAAUUAUUUCAAUAAAAAUGUUUAACCAUUAUAUAUUGCCGGACUUAAAAGUAAUAAAUAA
RNAcentral lists this ribosomal RNA (194 nucleotides) under Cornu mazzullii. Its description in RNAcentral is "Erctella mazzullii partial 12S ribosomal RNA". The record is from RNAcentral. Lineage: Eukaryota; Metazoa; Mollusca; Gastropoda; Stylommatophora; Helicidae.